RNAcentral lists this long non-coding RNA (2892 nucleotides) under Arabidopsis thaliana (thale cress). RNAcentral's name for it is "potential natural antisense gene, locus overlaps with AT3G51070 (AT3G51075)". The record is from RNAcentral. Lineage: Eukaryota; Viridiplantae; Streptophyta; Magnoliopsida; Brassicales; Brassicaceae.
UGAUUACUCAGCGAUAUGCGAUUAAAAGCUUCAAAUUUGCAGAAACCCAUCUUCUUCAGCUCCUACUCUGCCCAUGAUAUUCUCAGAGCGUCUUUCAUUGAGAAGUUUCUGGUCUCCAGAAUCCUUUUUGUGCACUUAAGAUUCCUUCUUGGUGUUUGGAGAAAGUUAAGUGAACAUCCCAGUGCAGUGACUUCAACAUGUUCUCAACUUCUCUUAUCACAUUUGAUUCGUCACGAACUAUUAGUUUACCUCCUGGUCUUACUAUUCUAUCCACUUCUGCCAUUACUGGAACAAGAUUGCACCUUUCAAAACAAAACAAAACAAGAGACUUAUUGUUGAUGAAACGUUACCAAAAGGUGUGGAUAUUAUGAGUUACGCUUAUACCUUGUUCUCAACUUUGAGAAAAGAUGAUCUGCAUGUAAGAGAUCAUAGCUUCGAGGGUAUGUGCUAAAUGAUUCACACCAGUCAUGAUAUAUUCCGAAUAGGCCUCUCUCGUAGAUUAUCGGUAGUGUAUCUGGUGAAUUUAUGUUUACUACAUUCAUUACCCACACCUGUAGGUCCUUCAGAGCUGCUGCAAACCUGCAUUUUUACGUAGUUAGUAAAAAAAGGUUUAGUUUUGUGUUCAUAAUCUGUAGUGAAAUCUCGAGGAGCUGGUUUCCCAUAUAUCCCCAUUUGAGAGCUGUUUAACCAGUAAGGCGGUGUUUGAAGCCGACGGGGCCAAUUCACGGGCCACUUGCUUCCUCUCUCGACCACAUUGGUUUCUGGUAGAUUGCAGCACCAAUACCAUUGAGUUUAUCCUUGUUGAUUGUCACAAGUUCCCAGCACAAGGAUUUUGUCAACGCGGACAUUUCUACAUCACUCAAAACAUCUCAGGUUCAGUGAAACAAACAAAAGAAGGAGGAACUCUAGCCUAAGCAUCCGAUUAAGUUCCAGAAGAAGCAUACCACCCUCAUUAUGCCAUGGGACUCUACAACGUGCACAGUGGAUAAGAUCAAACACUCUGCUCGGGAAUGGCAGUCGCUUAGAGCCCAUAACUGCUGAGAUGGCUGGAAUCUUUCUUUCAAGAGCAAACUGGACUUGAGCCUCGUGUUCAUCUUUUGGUGCAAGAGACAUUGCUAUAACAUCUCUUUCAAAGAGGAAACCGCCAAAGCUCGCCACUCCACAUCCAACAUCCAAUAUGACCCGAGUACGUUUACCCCACGCAAUGUUUUUCAAAGACUGCCAUAGUAGAAAAAAGGAACCAUUAUAUUCUGCAUAAAAUUUCUAUCUUUUACUUGUUGCAGUUUUAACACUAUACUGAAAUCAAGAAAUGAGUGUUCACCUGCUGAAGAAAAUCGAUAUAAUGAAGAGCUCCAUGGAUGAACUGUGUUCCACCACCAGGAAACGUCAAGAACUCGCCAGUGACCUUCACCCAGUUCUGAUGUCCUUUUACCUCAGCUAGCUUUGUGUGUGGGACAUUGUGGUACCAUAUCUACUAGAUCACAUGCCACUUGAUGGCCUCCUUAUAACCUUCUGGGAGGGGGACGAGACACGUUGAUUCUUUCGGUAUUCCAGAGCCAAAACCACUGGCUUCUGAACCCUGUUCGUGUUUUUUCUCAUCCUUCCGCUCUUCUUGUUGCUCCAUGUUUUCGUCCUUUGAUGUGCUCUCUUCUUCUUUGUUUCCGCUUUCUUCCUCUGCUGUGGUAUGUUCUUCCUGUUGGCCAUUCUCAUCUUUCAUGCUCUUCUCUCCCUUCCCGUUUUCUUCACUAGCUGUUGUCUUCUCCUCGUUUUGUUGUCCGGUUUCCUCAUUCCCUGAGUUUUGUUCCUCUGGUUGUCCGUUUUCUUCAUUCUUUGAGGUCUCUGAUGUUUCCCCCUGCCCCGUUUCCAUAGGUUGUUCUUGUUUGGUCGCAUCUGUGAAUGUCACAUCCGUAUUCGAAUCCUGUUCUUGCCCUUGUUUAUUUCCUUGUUCCACAUCCGGCUGUUCCUUCCCUUGUCCCUGCUCUUGCCCUUGAGUCCCUUUGGGCUGAGUCCCAGCGUCCUCGUCCCGCUGUUGUUUCUGUUCCUUUUCAAACUCCUUGACGACUUUUUUCAUCUGACCCUCCUCACUCUCUUGCACCGUCUGGUUCUCCUUGCCGUUAUCUUUCUCUUUUUCCUCGGAAAUUUUGUCAUCGUUGUUUUGUUGGGUCUCUUGUGUUUGAGUCUUUGAGCUCGUCGUUUCACUCUUCUCUUUCGCUGACUUCCGUUGCUCGUCUUCAGACUUUACGGCAUCGUCUGGAAGCUUUCCCGGAUUGUCUUCAAAUGCCUGUUGCUCAUCAGACUCUUGUUUCGUGGGUUCGGGCUCAUCAUUACCGUUUGAAGAGGCAGACACAUCACUCCUCUCUGUCUCUGCGACAGCCGCUCGAGUGGAGCCUUGUGUGAUCUGCGGUGGAAUAACGGAAUUGGAAGAAAGCAUCCACACCCCGAAGACACACAGAGCCACAAAGAUGACCAUUGUAAUGGUCGACGCAUAGGACGACGUCGAAGUGCGUUUGUUGCCACGUCCCCUCCCGAAGGCCAUCUUUACGGUCUUGCGUAUAGUACUAGUUAUGGAGAAAGAAGAAGAAGAAAAAUGAAGGAGUAAAAUGGGAGUUGAAGGAAGUAAAAAUAGAAGAAAAAGAAGAGAAAGAGAGGUUGUGAAGAGACAAGACUGGAUCAAAGAUCCUAUAGAGUCGGAUAUGGGACUUUCAAUUUCGUGUCUCUAAAUUUAGUUAUGGUCUCUGUGUUUCAUAUUUUGUUGUCCAUGAAAAAUUAGUGCCAUGUAAUCCAAUGUUAACUUGUAACGCCUAGUCAAGGAUAUAUUAAACAUGGCAAGCUUGUGCUUUUUUGGUAUAAUGUAUUCGAAGACUGUUUAAUUUGAAUUUUGAUUGAUUAAGU